This 698-nucleotide ribosomal RNA is filed under the name uncultured bacterium. RNAcentral's name for it is "bacterial SSU rRNA". It matches the Rfam family "Bacterial small subunit ribosomal RNA", at positions 78 to 797 of the family's 1533-position model. The record is from RNAcentral.
GGUAACUGUCAGCUAAGUGGCGCACGGGUGAGUAAUAUAUAGUUAACCUGCCUCAAAGAAGAGAAUAAUUGUUGGAAACGACUUGUAAUGCUCUAUAUGCCUUUAUCACAUAAGUGAGCAAGGGAAAUAUUUAUAGCUUUGAGAUGGGACUGUACGGUAUCAGUUUGUUGGUGAGGUAAUGGCUUACCAAGACUAUGACGCCUAACUGGUUUGAGAGGAUGAUCAGUCACACUGGAACUGAGACACGGUCCAGACUCCUACGGGAGGCAGCAGUGGGGAAUAUUGCACAAUGGACGAAAGUCUGAUGCAGCAACGCCGCGUGGAGGAUGACACAUUUCGGUGCGUAAACUCCUUUUAUUAGGGAAGAUAAUGACGGUACCUAAUGAAUAAGCACCGGCUAACUCCGUGCCAGCAGCCGCGGUAAUACGGGGGGUGCAAGCGUUACUCGAAAUCACUGGGCGUAAAGAGCAUGUAGGCUGGUUUGUAAGUUGGAAGUGAAAUCCUAUGGCUUAACCAUAGAACUGCUUCCAAAACUGCAGACCUAGAGUAUGGGAGAGGUAGAUGGAAUUUCUGGUGUAGGGGUAAAAUCCGUAGAGAUCAGAAGGAAUACCGAUUGCGAAGGCGAUCUACUGGAACAUUACUGACGCUGAGAUGCGAAAGCGUGGGGAGCAAACAGGAUUAGAUACCCUGGUAGUCCA